This 1074-nucleotide ribosomal RNA is filed under the name Epicoccum sorghinum. Its description in RNAcentral is "SSU rRNA". It matches the Rfam family "Eukaryotic small subunit ribosomal RNA", at positions 64 to 1132 of the family's 1831-position model. Lineage: Eukaryota; Fungi; Ascomycota; Dothideomycetes; Pleosporales; Didymellaceae. The record is from RNAcentral.
UCGCGUCGGCGGUGUGCGUCUAGUUAGCAUUAUACCGUGAAACUGCGAAUGGCUCAUUAAAUCAGUUAUCGUUUAUUUGAUAGUACCUUACUACUUGGAUAACCGUGGUAAUUCUAGAGCUAAUACAUGCUGAAAACCCCAACUUCGGGAGGGGUGUAUUUAUUAGAUAAAAAACCAACGCCCUUCGGGGCUUCUUGGUGAUUCAUGAUAACUUCACGGAUCGCAUGGCCUUGCGCCGGCGACGGUUCAUUCAAAUUUCUGCCCUAUCAACUUUCGAUGGUAAGGUAUUGGCUUACCAUGGUUUCAACGGGUAACGGGGAAUUAGGGUUCGAUUCCGGAGAGGGAGCCUGAGAAACGGCUACCACAUCCAAGGAAGGCAGCAGGCGCGCAAAUUACCCAAUCCCGACACGGGGAGGUAGUGACAAUAAAUACUGAUACAGGGCUCUUUUGGGUCUUGUAAUUGGAAUGAGUACAAUUUAAACCUCUUAACGAGGAACAAUUGGAGGGCAAGUCUGGUGCCAGCAGCCGCGGUAAUUCCAGCUCCAAUAGCGUAUAUUAAAGUUGUUGCAGUUAAAAAGCUCGUAGUUGAAACUUGGGCCUGGCUGGCAGGUCCGCCUCACCGCGUGUACUUGUCCGGCCGGGCCUUUCCUUCUGGAGAACCUCAUGCCCUUCACUGGGUGUGUUGGGGAACCAGGACUUUUACUUUGAAAAAAUUAGAGUGUUCAAAGCAGGCCUUUGCUCGAAUACGUUAGCAUGGAAUAAUAGAAUAGGACGUGCGGUCCUAUUUUGUUGGUUUCUAGGACCGCCGUAAUGAUUAAUAGGGACAGUCGGGGGCAUCAGUAUUCAAUUGUCAGAGGUGAAAUUCUUGGAUUUAUUGAAGACUAACUACUGCGAAAGCAUUUGCCAAGGAUGUUUUCAUUAAUCAGUGAACGAAAGUUAGGGGAUCGAAGACGAUCAGAUACCGUCGUAGUCUUAACCGUAAACUAUGCCGACUAGGGAUCGGGCGAUGUUCUUUUUCUGACUCGCUCGGCACCUUACGAGAAAUCAAAGUUUUGGUCUGGGGAGUAGCACAGC